Amphiprion ocellaris (clown anemonefish) is the source of this 295-nucleotide long non-coding RNA. RefSeq lists it as uncharacterized. Lineage: Eukaryota; Metazoa; Chordata; Actinopteri; Pomacentridae. The transcript has 3 exons. The record is from RefSeq and is a predicted model, not a curated record.
AUCAGCCUCCCUGGUGAGUUUGGAGCUUCUCCCUGCAUCCUGUUCCUGGAUGCUGCUGCUUGAUUUGGGCUCAGUUUCUGUUUUAGAGACUCUUUGCUGGACUUCGUCCGUGUGGCUGCCUCCAGUGCUGGUGAUGGACCGAGGUGUCGCCUGCUGCUCCACCAGAACACAUCUGUCUCCAUACAGGCCAUCAGUCAGCAGCUGGGUGUUGGGAUUGUGAGCAAUGGCAAACAAAGGAAGAGCAAAGAAAUUGGAUGCUAAAGCCGUACUGGAAGUGUGAAAAUGCCACGCAGGU